GAUGAACGCUGGCGGCGUGCCUAAUACAUGCAAGUCGAGCGAAAGGACGAGAAGUUUGCUUCUCUGAUGUUAGCGGCGGACGGGUGAGUAACACGUGGACAACUCACCUAUAAGACUGGGAUAACUUCGGGAAACCGGAGCUAAUACAGGAUAAUAUUUUGAAACGCAUGGUUAAAAAGUGAAAGACGGUCUUGCUGUCACUUAUAGAUGGAUCCGCGCUGCAUUAGCUAGUUGGGAGGGUAACGGCUUACCAAGGCAACGAUGGAUAGCCGACCGGAGGGGGGGAUCGGCCACCCGGGACCUGAGACCGGGCCCGGACCCUUAGGGAGGGCAGCGGGAGGAAAUCUGCCGCAAUGGGGGAAACCCUGUCGGGGCAUCGCGGCGGGGGUGAGGAAGGUUUUCGGUUCGUAAGACUCUGUUAUUGGAAAAGAACAUAUGGGUAAGUAACGGUGCGCAGCUGACCGGAACCUAAGCAGAAGGCCACGGCUAACAACUG
RNAcentral lists this ribosomal RNA (496 nucleotides) under uncultured bacterium. RNAcentral's name for it is "partial 16S ribosomal RNA". It matches the Rfam family "Bacterial small subunit ribosomal RNA", at positions 28 to 506 of the family's 1533-position model. The record is from RNAcentral.